UAGUUCGUUAAGAAUAAAUAUACAAUAUAUAACUGUUCAGAACUUAUGAUACUGCCUAAGCUAAGGAUAACACUACAAAGAGCAGUGCAGCAACAACAAAUACAAUUAUAUAUUAUUUUUUCCUAUUCCUUUGUUGCUCAUUGAUGCGAAUUCUUGAUAGUAGUCGUGACAUUACUUGCUUGUAAUGAUCUGGAAGAGGCAAGACAACCCACCUGAAAAAAUUGUAACCACUGCUUGUAUAAUAAUUUGAGCAUUCUUAGAACCUUCUACUCGGAUUGAUGGGCAUCCAGGUUAUACGCAGAACGACGUCAAGUCCACAACGACAAAAUAUACGAAUUUUCAUUACAUGCUUGGCUUGAAGAAUAAAAUAUCAAUCUAGAGAAGAAAAAAAUUGACCUAAAUAUGCACAAAGAAUGAAAAGAAAAUGUGUUACAGAGCUUCGGUUCUUCAAUAAUGAAGGUUGUAGGCAAAACAAGAAAAAAGAAGCCCUUUAAACAAAUGGGCCCUUGGGUUUAUUACCAUUAGGCAUUGAAAAAUAAAUGUUUCACGCUCCAAGUAGGCGUGACAUAUAUGCACAACAACUGACUAGAAAU
This 593-nucleotide long non-coding RNA is filed under the name Nicotiana benthamiana. RNAcentral describes it as "long non-coding RNA (NBEN_LNC005518)". Lineage: Eukaryota; Viridiplantae; Streptophyta; Magnoliopsida; Solanales; Solanaceae. The record is from RNAcentral.